This 465-nucleotide ribosomal RNA is filed under the name uncultured bacterium. RNAcentral describes it as "partial 16S ribosomal RNA". It matches the Rfam family "Bacterial small subunit ribosomal RNA", at positions 28 to 507 of the family's 1533-position model. The record is from RNAcentral.
GACGAACGCUGGCGGCGUGCUUAACACAUGCAAGUCGAACGGAAAGGCCCUGCUUGCCGGGUACUCGAGUGGCGAACGGGUGAGUAACACGUGGGUGAUCUGCCCUGCACUUCGGGAUAAGCCUGGUAAACUGGGUCUAAUACCGGAUAGGAGCCAUUUUUAGUGUGAUGGUUGGAAAGUUUUUUCGGUGUAGGAUGAGCUCGCGGCCUAUCAGCUUGUUGGUGGGGUAAUGGCCUACCAAGGCGGCGACGGGUAGCCGGCCUGAGAGGGUGGACGGCCACAGUGGGACUGAGAUACGGCCCAGACUCCUACGGGAGGCAGCAGUGGGGAAUAUUGAACAAUGGGCGCAAGCCUGAUGCAGAGACGCCGCGGGGGGGAUGACGGCCUUCGGGUUGUAAACGCCUUUCGCUAGGGACGAAGCUUUUUGUGACGGUACCUAGAUAAGAAGCACCGGCUAACUACGUG